UCCCUAGUGGCUCAUAUGGUAAAGAAUCUGCCUGCAAUGCAGGAGGCCUGGGUUUGAUCCCUGGGUGGGGAA
Non-coding RNA from Bos taurus (domestic cattle), 72 nucleotides. The record is from Rfam. NCBI's taxonomy places the organism in Eukaryota, Metazoa, Chordata, Mammalia, Artiodactyla, Bovidae.